CAGUCGCCACGGUAAUACGAAGGGUGCAAGCGUUACUCGGAAUUACUGGGCGUAAAGCGUGUGUAGGUGGUUGUUUAAGUCUGUCGUGAAAGCCCUGGGCUCAACCUGGGAAUUGCGAUGGAUACUGGGCGACUAGAGUGCGGUAGAGGAUAGUGGAAUUUCCGGUGUAGCAGUGAAAUGCGUAGAGAUCGGAAGGAACAUCUGUGGCGAAGGCGACUAUCUGGGCCAACACUGACACUGAGACACGAAAGCGUGGGGAGCAAACAGGAUUAGAUACCCCCGUAGUCCCUGUCUCUAUACA
RNAcentral lists this ribosomal RNA (301 nucleotides) under uncultured bacterium. Its description in RNAcentral is "partial 16S ribosomal RNA". It matches the Rfam family "Bacterial small subunit ribosomal RNA", at positions 509 to 808 of the family's 1533-position model. The record is from RNAcentral.